AUUCAUUCAUUCAUUCAUCCAAGAAAAAAGAAGUGAGCCAUGAUAAUAACCUCAUUCAUUAAUUACAACAAAAAGAGAGGUUACAAGAGUUAUAAUAUAUGUCCAUGAGCAUAGAGCUCUCAUACAUCCAAUCUACAACAUACAACUAAGUAAGCUAAUACAAAAUGACGAAAUCAGUGAAAAUGGGCAUCGAGCUCCAGAUCA
Molecule: long non-coding RNA, 204 nt
Filed under: Elaeis guineensis (African oil palm)
Lineage: Eukaryota; Viridiplantae; Streptophyta; Magnoliopsida; Arecales; Arecaceae
Description: long non-coding RNA (EGUI_LNC042118)
Source: RNAcentral